GUAUUGAUCGCGCGUCAUCGCGCAAAGAACAUUCUACACUACGUUCGAAUGGGUGUUUAUAAUGUUAAAAACGUGAGCACCCCCCUCCUCCUCCGAGGAAGGAGACCCACGCGGUGAUGCACAAAGGGGUGAGAUGGAUAUUUGUAUGUGAGAGGACUCGGGCGUGCACGACAAAAAAAAAGCCAGCGACAACCCUCGUACCCCCAUUGUACGAUAAUGAUCCUUCCGCAGGUUCACCUACGGAAA
Molecule: unclassified non-coding RNA, 246 nt
Filed under: uncultured fungus
Lineage: Eukaryota; Fungi
Description: sequence contains ITS1
Source: RNAcentral